This 1030-nucleotide long non-coding RNA is filed under the name Taeniopygia guttata (zebra finch). RNAcentral's name for it is "lncRNA (ENSTGUG00000019423.1)". Lineage: Eukaryota; Metazoa; Chordata; Aves; Passeriformes; Estrildidae. The record is from RNAcentral.
GGACAGUUCGCUGCAUUUCUUGGUGACCUCUAAAGGUCUAGUAAAGCUAUGGUAGAGACAAGAGGAGGAGGUAGAAGGGAAGAUUUUCUCUAGUUCUUACAACAAGACCUGGUUUUAAAUUUGUUUUAACUUAAAACAUCUUCAUGCAGAAUAAAAAAUUCCAAAAUCUCAGCUGGAUCAAUUUCUACAUCCUGUGCACUGGGCAGCCACACAGAAACUCGUGCCAGCAUAACACAAGAAGCACCAGGCAGGAGAAUGGAGAAGGGAAGGAGUAAGGAUUUCUUUUUUGUACGGCUGUGCCAACUUUGCAUGUGUGUUAAAUCAGUUUAAGAAAACUACUCAAAAAGUUGCAGUUUGAAUUCAGGAGUCCCAGUCCUGGCUAAAACUGUGUACUGGCCUGUUCAUCAUCAACUUGCACACCACUUAUUAAUAUUCUGUUUUUCCAAGGCAGACAUUGGAAGUUCUCCCUGAAAUCAGGUAUUUCUAUGGCAGAGCCCAAGCCCAGCCUCUGCCAGCAGAUGUGUCUGCACUAAUUUUCUGUUCAUUUUGUGAAAGUUAAUAUAUCCAGUCCUCACGUUACUGGAGAGGAAACCAGAAUCACAGUCAAUUCACCGGCAGCAUGUACCACACAUCGCACUGGAUUGUGAACUCUGAAACGAAGAGAUCAGAUUACCAUAAAACGUUCCACUGCUGAGCAUUUUUGCAGAAAAGUUCAGCUAAAUUUGUCUUUGUACAAAUUAAGCUGCUUCUCAUAUUUCUUGACUAUGAGACUAUUCUCCAAAACAAAAGAAAUGCUGAUGUUUAAGGAAUAAGAAACCACAGUCAAUGUUAUAAGAAAAAAUAGAAAGAGAAGCAGCUUAGCAUUUGGAUUUCAAAGCCAAAUUUGAUGCCUAGGAAUGUUUCUCUGGCCAAGUAACUAAUGAGAGACCCUGAAAAUAAACUAAUGGUACCAUUUUGCAUUUUGUAAUUACAUGAGUGCAAACUUGUACCUGGUCCUGCUGAUGCUGAGGGGGGCAGCAAUGAGCUGGAA